CUCGUGCAUUUGUGAAACUGUUUUGAAGGCCUUUUGUUUAGAUUGAAUUGCAGCUAUAGAGUUAAGAACCACAAUUUACUUAGUCGACCUUACAGGUAUUUCAAAUAGUGUUGCAUUCGAGAAUCGUAACCCGCAUUGUUCAUGUGUUAAGGGAACUAGCUGCAAAUGGGGCAGCGGGAGGAUGCGAGUCAAAUCACCACAAGGAAUACUUACGAGUGGCUUUAAUGCUCAAGAGGCGGCACAAAGGACUAAAGACUCUGCCGAGCAGUCAUACAUUGGUGGUCUAUAUAGUGGCGUCUAUUUACUUAAGCUCAAGUAAUCUACAUAAUUUCUCUGACAAAGGAGCGGUUUGUGUUGACUUAAGCUUAAUCCUUAUUUUGGUUUCUAACCGAGCCGCACAACACAUGUAUAGCAACGUAUAGAUGGCUAACUCCUCGACCUGUGAAAGUCGUGUGGAUAUUUGGUUACAAGGCAUGUUUUGAACCUGAA
Long non-coding RNA from Nematostella vectensis (starlet sea anemone), 489 nucleotides. RefSeq lists it as uncharacterized. NCBI's taxonomy places the organism in Eukaryota, Metazoa, Cnidaria, Anthozoa, Actiniaria, Edwardsiidae. The transcript has 2 exons. The record is from RefSeq and is a predicted model, not a curated record.